Molecule: non-coding RNA, 132 nt
Organism: Cercophora samala
Lineage: Eukaryota; Fungi; Ascomycota; Sordariomycetes; Sordariales; Lasiosphaeriaceae
Source: the annotation of a GenBank genome assembly
GCCCGUGUGGUGUAGUGGUUAACAUUCCAUGAGGUAGCCACCCUUCAAUAAUGUGUUGGCAGCCAUCCCAGCGCAGUGUUGUACUCUAGCCUGCUACCUCAUGGGGCCCAGGUUCGAAUCCUGGCAUGGGCA